GAUCCUGGCUUAGGAUGAACGCUAGCGGCAGGCUUAACACAUGCAAGUCGAGGGGCAACGCGAGUAGCAAUACUUGGCGGCGACCGGCGCAAGGGUGCGUAACGCGUGAGCAACAUGCCCGUAUCAGGGGGAUAAUCCAGGGAAACUUGGUCUAAUACCCCAUAGUAAUUUUUGUAAGGCAUCUUAUAAGAUUUAAAGCUUUGGUGGAUACGGAUUGGCUCGCGUGACAUUAGCUGGAUGGUAAGGUAACGGCUUACCAUGGCUAUGAUGUCUAGGGGUUCUGAGAGGAAGGUCCCCCACACUGGAACUGAGACACGGUCCAGACUCCUACGGGAGGCAGCAGUGAGGAAUAUUGGACAAUGGAUGGAAAUCUGAUCCAGCCAUGCCGCGUGAAAAGGAAGAAGGUCCUAUGGAUUGUAAACUUCUUUUGUAUGGGAGCAAUAAGGCCUACGUGUAGGUUGAUGAGAGUACCAUACGAAUAAGCACCGGCUAACUCCGUGCCAGCCGCCGC
RNAcentral lists this ribosomal RNA (511 nucleotides) under uncultured bacterium. Its description in RNAcentral is "bacterial SSU rRNA". It matches the Rfam family "Bacterial small subunit ribosomal RNA", at positions 15 to 518 of the family's 1533-position model. The record is from RNAcentral.